Molecule: non-coding RNA, 13941 nt
Organism: Oryctolagus cuniculus (rabbit)
Lineage: Eukaryota; Metazoa; Chordata; Mammalia; Lagomorpha; Leporidae
Source: RefSeq, a predicted model, not a curated record
GAAGGAGCGGGGCCCUCGCCGCAGAGCGCCCGAGGUCGGCGGCGGGUGUGGGCCUCCCUGUUGGGGCUUCGAAGGUGCAAGGGAGCGGUGUCGGGUACGGUGCGGAAAGGCCCGGGCCGAGUCGGAGUUGGAGCUCGGGGGCCGCCUCGGUGUGCGGACAGCAGGUCCGAGCGAGAAGGCUGCCCCCCGGGCCUCCCGGGGCCCGCGGAGCCCCCAGGUUUUCCCCGGUGGCGACUUGCCUGGGAGCUGCAGCACCCUCUGGGCCGGGCUGCGCGCGCCUCGUCGCCCGGCGUUGUAGGCCGCAGAUUCUGUGCUAACGGGUUUCUCCCUCUGCGUGUCUCUUACUGGGAAGAAAUACUUAGACUGAUGGGUUAACUUGUUUUCUUAGCAGUUCCCAUAUGGCGUUUUUAUCAGCAUGGUCCGCCCAGCGUUGGGGAUUUUGUCCGUAAGCUUAUAAUGAUGGUUGGAUAGGAACUGUUCAAAACGCAGCUGUUGGCCUUCUCUCCUUGUUGUCACCUUUCAAAGUGGGCAAAAGAGCUGCGUUUGUGUAGUGUUAGGGGAACCACAGACACUGAGGCCGGAAAGGCUCCUCUCUCUGGAAGAUUUUCACCGUUGUGUAGGCCGUGAGCCCGAGGUGACAGUACUCUGAGAAACUUGGAAACGUGCACUUUGAAGAAAUGUUUUUAGUGUUAAUGCUCCCAGAUAGAGUGUUCAGUGUAAGAAUUUACCUAUCAGCGAGAGGGGUUUUCUGAAACAGUGCAUUUGCAGGAGAUACUAAAUGUUUUGCGUUGGCUUAGUUCUCCGAUUCCUGUCCUGUAAUACUCUAGCUGUGGAAGUGAAGCACUGUUCUUUGAUUUUACUUAGGUGUGGGAACUGACCGGUGAGCAAUCUGCCCUGUGUUUCGAGCACAGUAAGUGAAAACGGCUGUGAUGUAACCUUCUGGAUGCCAGCCUGUGUCGGGAACCAGCUGCAUCAGUGUACCCCAUUUGUAACGGUUCAGUAGGCAGUUAAUAGUGAAAGUAGUAGCAGGGGUUCAUAACCUUGAUGGGGUUGGCCAGCUUUUCUUCCCCUGAAACAUGCACACACACACAGAAUAUGCACAGUAUCGGCACCUUAAGGCCUCUGUCAGCUGAGCUCAGCAUUGCUCUGGAUUUUUUUUUUUUCUCUAUUGUGUUUGGAAGUCUUUAAUGAAAACUCUAAAUGGCUUUGUAAGAAAUUUUAUAGUUAAAAAAAAUAUAUAGGUUGUAUGUAUCAUACUAUGUGUAUGUAUGUGUCGGAAAUCCCAUUAGUAAAAACCAUGCACAUUUGCCUUAGCCUUUAAAAUGAGCAUUUUUGACUGGGAGGGUACCUCAGUUGCUAGGCUCCCAGAGGUUUCUGAAGCAGCAAGCUUUGGGUAAAGCCUGGCCCUGGCGUGGGUACUUGUAAACAUCACAGGUAAUUCUGAUAGGCACUGAUUUCACUCCAAAACUACAGAUCUACCUGACAAAACAACAAAACUUUGGUGGUUUCACCUUUUGAAAUACAGUUUUAGAAUUUUUUUUUUCCUUUUUAAAAAAGAGAGCUCUUUGGUCCUGUCAGGAAAUUAAUAGGGCUGGGGAUAAAAGGAGCUCCUGUGAGUGAUGGUACAUCUGGCUGUCCUCAGCCCUUUCAGCCCCUGGGCACACUAGGAGCCCUGUAGGGUGUGCUUUGUCUCCAUCUCAGCCUUUAGUGUAGUGCCUGGGGCAGUCGGUGUGAAGUGAAUGAUACCCAUACCAUUGUCGCUGUGUUGGCAGAUGAGCUCAAUGGCCUGUAACCUGGGACUGCUUGCAGAGAGUGCUGGGUGAGACCGUGGUAUUCCCUCCUCUGCCCCAGUGCUUCCCUGACUUAUCUGUGGUCAGUCUGACUUGUCUCUGAAUUUGAGAGCUGGAACUGUAUAGUACAAUUUUAUCUGGUACCUAGCAUGGAGUACAUAUUUGGCUAUCCAAAGUUAUUUUAAAUCUGCCUUUAAAUAACAAAUGUUGACUCUGAAAAUCAAAUUUUGAUUGAAAAUAUUUGUAGAUGUGCUGAAUUUCUUAAAUUACUAUUAGAAGGUUUUUUCCUGGUAAAGGUUCUGCUUUUGUGAGCAUAAAGUUUUUGUGAUGUAAAUUAAUAACUGAUAACUUGUAAUCUUAUAGAUGGAAGGCUUAAUACUUAACCUUACAUAUUUGUAAGUUUAUAUUAAUUUUUGGUAAGUUUAUGCUUUAUAACAUAGUAAUUUCAUCAGACUUCUGUUAUCAUUUGUGUAUUACGUACCAUUGUAAAAUAAAUUUUUAACUCUCAUACAGUUGCUAUUGGUCUUUUUCUUUUAAGAAUGUGAAAUCUGAAUGGACAUAACCUUUGAACACCAGAUUGCACAUUCCUUACAUAUUACCCUGUUUAUAAUAAUGUUGUGAAGUGGGUGGUAUUACCCUGUUUGUACAGCUGAAGAGGGCGAGGCCUAGACAGGAGAAUCGGCCUAAAGCCUGUGGCCGGCAAGCUGGGAAGCACUGUUAACAGUGACUUGUGUUGAGUGCUCUGUCCUUGAGGACGCAGAACAUCUGGGUCUGCUCCCCUGCUUGCUCUGUCACAGUCAACCCCUGUUGGUCUCUCAGGCCUGUUGGGGAGAUCUUACCUUUGUGUAAAUAGCUCUUGUUCUGCCCCAGAAAAAGACCAUUGUCCCUAUUGCGGAUUGGUGGUACAGGGACACUGGAAGCGUUGUCUUUCCUAGCUCUCUCCCAAAAGAGUCAUUCCCCUGUUGUCUCUGACCAGGGUUUCUUGUCCUUUGAAAAGGAGCUGUUUCUAAAUUUUAUGUCACUCAGGUAUCUUAGAGCAGUUCUUGAUUUUUAUGGGGAGGUGUAAAACCAGUUUGAGUGUGAUGGAAAAUUGUUCUCUUAAAAAUGUACCUACCCUUGUUUCCCUAGUUCAAGAGUAUGGGUUAUUUAAAGCAAUGUUUUUUACUCUUUACAUGUUGCUUUCCUAGGGACUCUGAAUCUUGAGGCUGAGGAAGUAGAGCAGUUUUCCACUGGGGAGCCUGCGGAGUUGUAGCUGCACGGUUUUCAAUGACGUGUACCUCUGCUCUUGGCUACCUUUGUGUCCAAGUUUCCCAAGUUCGGGUACUUGUUAUUCCCAGAGAAUGUUGUCAUCCUAUUUCCUGCAUAGAAGGACAGUCACUUGUGUAUAGGGUGGGACACAGGGAUCUGAGGUCUCAGGACCCUUGUAGAUACUGAGUUGGUUGUCCUCUGUAGUCCUGCCUUGGCUUUUCAGGACAUCUGUGACUCCGGCUUCCCAGCUCCUUCCAAGGACAGGGGUCUUGGGGUUGUCUCACUGCUGUCCCCUCCAAAGGAACUGUGGUGAGGAUGUUGUUCUAUGCCAGGUUAGCCCAUGUCUGUACAGUUACAUCUUCCCAAAUCUAGACUGACAUUUUCCAUACCCUGUGCUGCUGCUUGGACUUUCUCUUUGUCCUUCAAGCUGUGUGUGUGUAUUUAGUGGGUUUUGGGAAGGAGCCAAGAAAUGUUUUCUGGUUAUCAGUCACUGCAUAAUCACAUCAAAACUUAGUAGUCUUAAAACCUCAAAUGUUGGUAUUAAAGUCUUGUAGUUCUAGGGGAGUCAGGUGGUUCUCUGUGGGGUCCCUCGUUGUUGCAGCCUGGAGUCUGAGCCAUCCGAAAUGAAAGGCUUCCUAACUGAGCUCAGGUGGUGCUGCUUGAUAUCACAACACCUCCAGCACCACCUCGGCCUGCCUCCCUCCUUCCCUCUGUUCUCUGAGAACUAGUGGCAAAAGAAAAAGUGCCGUUUUUGAGUUAGAGAGUCACUUCGUCUGCUGCUUUGAGGCCAUCACUGAGUUCUGCCUGCAUUAAGGGUGGGGAACAUGUACUCCCCUGCAGGAGGGCAGCUGUGACGUACUUCAGAAAGUUUAUGGAAAAUGGAACUACAUGAUUUUUAGAGUAGAAAUUUUUUGAAACCCAUACGUAGUUUAUUCAUAAUACACAUUUUAAUGGGCCUUUUGAAGACCCUUUAACUUGUGGGCAUCUUUGACAGAAUCUACCACACUUAGGUUUAUUUCUCUUUAAAUGGAAGGCCAGAGGGGCUUUACUAAAGCUUUGUUCUUGUCACUGACCUAUUUUACAGCAUUGGAAGGCUCCCAGUCUAGUAACCAGCAGUACCAGUGCUCCUGAAUGAUAUCACUCCAGGUGUGAGCAUGCCACGUAGCAUGCGCGCCACCUCCAGGGACCUCUCCUGCCCUUUUUCUCUGUGAGGGAACCCACUCUUGUGGAUGUUAAGCUUCAACUCAGCAUCAUCUCAAGAACGCACAAUCUGCUUCAGGAACAAUCCAUUCAGUUACCCACCUUCCCAGAGCACUUUCCCUGUACUAAGCUUAGAGUCACUGGGUGUAUACCUGACUUCUCGGAUUGAGCUGGCUGCAGUAACUAGCACGUUUAGCUUCAUACCACACCUGGCCUAAGUCCCUCAGAAUUCUUCAGGUGUAGGUGCACCACAGUCAGCCACUUAACCUUCAUCUUCGGAGAGUUGAAUGAAAAUUUCUAGCCCCCCAAAAAACACCCCAAUCAUAUUAACCUUGCUUUUUCAGCUAACUAAUUUUAGAGAUUAAUAUCUGUGUGUUUCUUGAGGCUUCAGCUUUCAACAUUGUUUGAUUUGUGCAUAGAUGUUUUAGUUAAGGUUCAGACCAUCAGCACUCAUACAAGGAGGAGGUAAUUAUCAGUUAGCUGUGUAUCAGCUUUGACUAGUACAAUCUGUAGAUAGCUAAGGAGGGUGGUGGCAGCUGGGUGGCCAGCACUCUGGCGGCCCCCCAUGUUCUAGAGUCCCUGUUACUCUUUGGACAAAAGCACCAACCCCAAGUUCAUUUGCUGCAAGGUCUGGCUGGAGCAUCACCUUGCAGGGUGGCUGGGUGUGGAAGGAAGUUCAUAGUCCUGACCUAAUUCCUGAAUGGGGCACUUUAAUUUAUGUAGAUAAGCACCUUCCAGUGUUUCUUGUGCCAUGUAAAACUUAAAAUUUUGAAAUAUGCUGUUUAGCAAAUGUUUUACCUCUUGUAGUUUUUCUGCAAGAGAACUUAGUUUGCUUUCUUUGUGAGGAGUGAGCGUGUCUCAUCCUCGUGAUUGUGAAAAUGGGCUCUUUGUUGAGUAGGUCAAAGGUUGCAGUUUAAUUCAUGAAAUUAUAGUGAAGACUAUUAUUUUUCAUCUUGUCUCACAAAGUAAGAUUCAGUGUCAUACUGAAUAGUAUUACAGCCAUAUUUUAAAGAAGCUUAUUUUGUACCUAUAACAACUUCAUAAUUAUGCAUGUCAGAAUCAGCCAGUCUUGUGCUUUAGGGCAUGGCCAGUUACCACAGCCAUCAGGAAGGAAUUUCUCUUGUAUUUCAAUGCAUAUUGCUCCUGACAGGAUGGCUCCAUGACCCAAGCAUGAAUUCCAGGGUAUACUGUAAGGUUGGAUAAUUGCAGGCCAAUGGAUUUGAAGGACCACACACUUACGGGCGAUGUCAUCUCUUCCUCACAUCUGUUUAAGAGAAAUUCUAAGAACACAGGGCUUGUUGCCUAUGCUUUACCACAAUAUCUUUGGAUAUAGCUGUUGAUGAACGCAAUAGAUAACAGCCAACUUUUCAUAUCCUUUUACUCCAGGUCCACCUUCAGAGACAACGUGAGUUGUACUUUUUUGAAGCCUUAGCCUAAAGGUGAGAUCCUAGCAUUGACAUUUGAAGUCAUUUGGGCAGCUCCUGUGUUAAGUGGAGAAUCUUUAUAUAAGUAAGAGUAGUGGUCACUAUUGAAAAUGUAAUUUAAGAGCAGCUGGUACAAAGCAUAUUCUUUUAAGUCCCUAUAAUAUUUCUAACUCUGAGCUCCUAGAAGCUUUUCAUAAUUAUAUCAAUGAUUUGGUUUUCCUUUAUGGAUGCUACAGUAUCCAUUUUGUGAUUAAAAUAAUUUGUGUAGGUGUACCAUGAACUUGAUGCCUGUUCCUGAAAGCUUGUUAAAUUUUUGAAGCCAUUCAAAAUAUAAGACUGGAAUUAUGUCUUUACAUUUGCAUUUGUUUUAGUCUCAUUUUGGCUCAUGUGUCUAACAACUUUGUACUUGGUACUCUUAAACCAGUGGUUUAUUUUUUACCAUAAUCUCAUCUGUACGUAGAAAUUUUACACCAGCCAUCAGUGUAUGCACAAAAUGGUCCUUAAGCAGAAUGGAUAUACUCUGUGUUCUGUUCUCUUGAGAUAACUUGGGGGUUGAGACCCAUUAUGUUGCACAGUUAGUUCCUGGAGAUUUAGAAACAUGGCUGCAAGCUAAAACAAAACAAAAACUUGUCUUACAAGCCUUUUUUGCUGUUGUGGGCGUGCUGUCUCUAUACUGGUUGGUCUGUUCAAACAGCAUCCUUGAAAGACAAAGGGUGAUGAAAGCAGAGAAGGCAGUGUGUGUCAAUCGUCUGCACGCACAGUGCCCUCCAUGGCACUGCAGCUUCAGGUGCUGUCUCUACAGGAAGUCCAUGGAGGGAAUGUGUUCCACAGGAUCUCUCAUGGUCAGCAGGGUAUCAUGAGGAUGGGCUCAAGGCUGAGGAGCUUCUCCAGAGGAUGUUGUGUGUGGAAGGAGAUGUCUGGCUGGGUGCUGCCUGGUGGUGGUGCCUGAGCAGCAGCAGUGACACUGGUUCUCCCCUCAUGGACUGUAAUGCUUGGCAUGGUGUCAGAUUUUAGAAGUGUCCUGGGUCUUGUCUGAUGGCAUCAGUGCAAGCUCUCAUUCUGCUCGAGUCACUUCUUCUCAGCCAAGUGUGGGGGUAUACCUUGUAAAUUGGUGUUUCUGCUGCAGUCUUGAUUUGGUGAUGAGCAAAGAUUGCCAGGGACUGGACUGAGUUUGAUUCACAGCACCCUGAGCUCCCCCUUCCCUGUCUUCCCUGCGCCCCAUCCCCAUCCCUACUGUUGGGGAAUCUUGUUGGACACUUACAGGAACUGUAGAAGCUGGGGCCCUACUGCCGGUUUUGCCAGUGUGUGAUCCUGUGUUUGUAAUCUUGUUUCCUUAUUUGAAAAAUGGGGAUAAUAAUGGAAUUUACCUAAGCAGAUCCCCAUGGAGAACUAAGAUUAAGGCUCCUAGCACUUCUUAAUCCCACAGAGGAUCUCCUAAGGGCCUGAGAGAAGUCACUAAUGUUUGGGUAUUGAUGUAACAAUUGCAUUUGAUUAAGUGGAUGCCCAAAUAAUUGCCCUGUGAGUACUCCAUCAGAUAAUUCCCAAAUCCAUGGCAAGGCACAGUCCUUGUUCAUUCUGUGCCAACCCAAACCAUGAGGUUUCCAAAAGAUGUGGUUCACAGGAUGGACGAUGAGGCUGAAUCCAUAGCAGCCAUCCGUCUUUCAGAGAAGUCUGUGCCAGUCUUGAUGAUCCCCUUUCUAGAGACAAACUAAGAAGUGGACAGGUGUAAGGAAGUGUGGGUCUUGGAGAGGUGUUGGAGGGCUGGCUCCAGGAAGCCAGCUCUGCCUCCAUGGUGGCUGUGACCAGGGAGUCCUGUAGCCCUAACCAUAAGCAGCAGUUAGAGAUUGAUUCUAGAACUGGUUCCCAAGAAUUCAAACUGACAGCAUGGACAGCACGUCAGAAAAACCUGAAGUACUUGGUUGGGGAUAGUACGCUGUCUAAUCCUGACCUACCCUGCCUUUGGACUUGGUCUUGAGCUAAUUUCCUAAUGUAGUGUGUACAUGGCUGUUCUCCCCACUGAAUAUGAAUGUGCACAAGCUUGAAGCCUCCAUGAUCAGAGAAGCCACAAAACACAGGCUGAAUGAAUUAAAGAACAUUGCAGCACAUUAUCAACUGUGUCCUGUGACAAACUUGGUAUCAGAGCUGCUACUUGUGCUGCUGGCAUCAUCCUGGCCAUACCACUUCUGAUCCAGCUCCCUACCAAUGUGCCUGGGAAAGGCAGCGGAAAAUGGCCCAAUUGGUGGAGCCUCUGCACCCAUGUGAGAGACCCAAAAGAAGCUCUUGGCUUCAGACUAGCCCAGCUCCAGUCAUUGAGGCCAUCUGGGGAGUGGACCAGUGGAAGGAAGACACACACCCGUGUGUAACUCUGCCUUUCAAAUAAAUCUUAAAAAACAAAAUUAAAAAACAAAAAAACCUUGGUUCCAGGCUACCACUUGCAGCCACGGUAGCCUUGUUCCCCAUUUAGGGCUUCUCUGAGUGACCUUUGUAUUGUCAAUACAAAAAAAGUCAGCACUAGAAGAAAGGGCUCUGACCACAGCAGCCUUGGGUGCUGAAGCAGGGCUGCCAGGGCCUUACCACUGUGUACACGCAAAGAUGCAAGUGCCCAUCAGCUCCUCCUGCCCUGUUAUUAGCCUAGGACCCACCUGCAUACCGGGAAGAAUGAGUCCAUCAGUUGUACCAGCCUGACCAGAAAAACUUUGAGCAUAUUUCCAAUCUGUAAAAUAAUUAGGACUAGCAACUCACAUCCAUUAGCACUAGUGUGUGUGCACUGAUAACAGAUUUUAUGGAUCCUCUUCAGUUUGCAUAGUUGAGAGCAGGGCUCAUGGCUUGGUGGGUUUUAGACCACACACAUAUGCUCAGCCUGUGCUUUUUUUGCUUCAGGCCUUGGGGAGCAGCUAGGAUAAUCUCCAUGGGACCAAAGACAUCAGGCCUCCUGACUCCCAGUCACUUAAAAUGGAUGACAUGCCCAGUGCCUGAGUUAGCUCAUCUCUGUACUGCUGAGGCUUCACACAGUAUCACUGUGGUGUCACAACGGAUCCCUUCACAAGAGUCUUGGCCCAGGGGAAGAAGUGCCCUUUGGCCAGAUGGCUUCAUUUUCUGUGACUAGUGGCAGGCAGGUGCCUUGGAUGGGAGAGCAUGAAAUGGGCUGGACAAGGAGAAGGGCUCGGAAGGAGCAAGGAGCAUGGGAGCGACUGGUAACACAGGGUCCAGAGAAAACAAGGUCUUCACCCUGUCACACAUGGGCUAUGGAGGAUAUAUGGUGGCCAAAACCCACCUGGUAUGUUUUAUCUAUUACCCGAGUGGUGUUUUCAUAAAUAAAGUCUGUUUCACUUCAGAGCAGCAAAAAUAUGGUGUUAGCAAGGGAAAGACCCUCAGAUGACUUUAGCACACAAUUUUAUCUGGAAUUCAGAAGCUGAUGAGGUCAACAGCGAGAAGCUUGAGGACAUUCGUGCCGCCUGGUUCAAUCCUCCUUGAUGCCUGGGGAUGUGUUGCAGGACCCCCAGGGGAUGCCCGAGACCAGUGAUAAUACCAAGGCCUCAACACCUGUGUACUUCAGGAAUUUCACAGGAAGUGGAAUUAAAGAGUGCAUUUUGGUGCAAAAAUUUUUGAAAUUAUGUAUCAGCAUUUAUAGAAAAAUGUAUAUUAUGAAAAAAAACCAUGGAUUUCAACAUGUUUCUGCACCAAAAUAAAUGUUAUCUUAAUUCUAUUUUCCCAUGAGUGUUUUGAAGUACUUUGAUAUAGUUUUUCCUAUACAGGCAUACUUGAUAAAUAUGGUACAUUAGAUUUAAUAGUCAUAACAACAAUAUUCUACAGUAAAAGUUAUCUGAAACUGAAUUAUUUUCCAACUGUGGCUGACCACAGGUAAAUGAAACCACAGAAAGUGACACCACAGAUAAGGCGCAUGGCUGCACUGAAGUGUGCUUUUAAAGGCUCAGCAUUUAGCAGCUACACCCCGUUCUUUCAUCCCCUCAGCAUGAGUGAGUGCCCUGUGACUGGAGCCAUCUUGUGUGUGUCCAGACUGAGAUAAAUAAGCUCCCGGUGAUACUUUGUUUUUCUCUUCUCGUAACAAAUAAAAAGGAUUGGAUAAUUCAGCCCAAGGAUUCCUGUGUGUCUGAAACAAGAGGAGGUUUCCAUGCCACAGUGUGAGGCCAUAGCUUGAGUGGGCUGAACACAGGAAGGCACACCAUAAAUUAAGUGGACCCUGGCUGCAGAGGGUCAGUGGUGACCUAUAGGGCUGGAUCUGCCUGUCAUGGCACUCCCAGUGCUGGUGAUGGCUGUCGGAGGGAGGAAGCCCCCUUGAAUAAGUUAAGUCAGGAUACAGCUCGCAGCAUCAGCUGGAGGUGAAAACGCUCCCUUUCCCAUCCCUGGUCCCUGCAGCCACCACCAGGGCUGUGGAAGCUUUAUGUACACCCUUGUGAGAGGACUGGGUGCAAAUCAGUCCAUGGGACUCCGUGUCUGCAGCUGACUUAAAUGAAUCACUUGAAAACAGAGGCUGCAGCUCAGUAAAACAAUAAAGUGCUUUUGUCGAGAGGCGCUGCUCCUUACUGGCUGGUUCUCAUUUCUCCUGAGGCACCGAAAUUGACAUCAUUGAAGAUAAAACUUACCACAGUAGAACUGUAAAAACACGUUGCUACUAAAAAGCCUGUAUUUCUACUUCUCUAUUGGUUUCCACGUCUUUGUGUUACUAGGUUUUAACUUAUUGUUGGGUAAGGAAAUAGUUUAUGACGGGAGAGGGUGGCAAACCCACACAGAAAGGAACGGUCCAUAAAUAUUCCUGCAGGGUUCGCUGGUGAAGGUAUGGGGAGUUAACGGCAGAAAGGUCCCACCCUGUGCUGCGUCCAGGAGUGUGUCUGGAGGAAUGGAGACGUGGAUUUGCUUCUGGAAGGAUUCACGUCAGCCUGAGAGUGUUCCAAGUCUGCCUGCUUGCCGACUGCUAUAAUACACUGGCAUCUUCCAUGGCCUCUAUCCACCUGCACAACAGAGAAGAGGGCACCUGGGUCACAGCCCUGCCUGAGACUGGUCUCAGACCUACAGAGUCAGCUGCAAGUUGCAGACCAGGUCACAUUCAUCCCAGCUUCCCAAACAUGUUUUACAUGGUUAGCAGAAGGCCUUGAACACAGUGCGGCAUUUGCUGAUUCAGUGCGUGCCUGUCUGGAUCAACUGUAGUCAUCACCUGUCAUAGGACAACGGGAGGCAUUUGAGACCCAUGCUGGGGAUUCUGUCAUGCGAAUACUACAGUGUAUGUGCGCCAGCUGAGAUGGGGACGGCGGUCACGCAGCCUGUGCUGUCCGCUUACGCUGUGUGUGCCCUGCUCUUGGACCAGGAUCACCUUGACUCUGACCUUACAAGGGCCACAGUGUCGUAGGUGGUGCUGUUUUCCAGUUCCUUUCUCAUCACUGUGCAUGCACAGGUGACUGGUGUGCAGACUCUAGGAACUGGUGGACGGGAUGGCUGCAGCAAAACCCGUCACAGCCAUGGGGACAAGCAGGGUGCUCGUGAGAGGCGAGCAGACAUGGGGCUAGCUACUUGCAGUACCUCUGAGCUGCGCUGGGGUCCUCUGCCUUGAAGCUGUAGAAGAGGGUUUUCUUGUGGUAAAGGUGGAACACGGGUCCUGCUUCGCUGCUGCCCUCCUUCUCGGGGGUGAUGGUGAAGCCCAGCAGGGGCAUACUCUCCAUGGCUGCUUUGUCCUGUGGAGCGAGGACAGGAAUGCCGGGGUCACACACCAACCACCCCACACACCACACCCUCCAGUCUGAGACCCAAGGAAGGACACAAACUGCACAGUGGGACACAGCUUAGUAGGGACCAUGCAUUUCCACCCUGAUUUUAAUGAGGACAGAAGCUGCCAUCUCUGGUCUAAGAAACAGGCACAGAGAAGGGAGUGGCCCAAAGUUGCACGGCUAGUCAGGGGCAGAGCGACCCUGGCCCGGGGCCACCAGCUCACCCCACAUUCUUCCCAGAGGCCUGAAUAGUCAUCAGUGGGCUCUGUGGAUUCACUUGUGAUAAUGGAUUCUGUGCUGAUUCUCCCUGCCGUGCCUCGGUAUGAAGCCAGGGGGCAGGCUUGACGACAGGUACCCAGGGGCAGAGACGGAUCUUAAAACAGUGCUCCAUGGAAAAAGCUUUUCACAUACAAUGAUAUUUUUGUACUUGGGUACAUAAGAAACACGUUCACCAAUAAUACAGGCUUUGUAAAAACAGACAAACACAUCAGAGUGGAAGGGGGAGAGGGAGAAAGGGGAGUUUGUGUAAAAAAGUUUGAAUCAAUUUCAAAGACUGCUAAUCCAGAACCCAUUCAAGAUAAAGCCAAAUGAGUAGGAAUAAUAAAGUACAAAUGAGUAGGAAGGAACUAGCUGUCUGAUAAAGAACAUUAAUAAAACACCCACAGCUCACAUCACAAACGUUUGCUCGUAAACUACUCAGUACCACACUCUGCAGGGGUCCUAGCCAUCAUAUCAAGGCAAGAAGAAACAGAUCAGAAAGGAAGAAGUAAAAUUCUACACUUGUGGACAACAGGACUGGUUAUAAACAAGUGCUAGGGGAACGGGCACUGGGGCACAGCAUGUUAGGCUGCUGCUUCAGGUGCCCUGUACGCCAUGGUGGAGUGCCUGGUGUGAUUCCUGACUGCACCAUGCUUCUGGUCCAGCUCCUUGCUAAUGCCUCCUAGAGGCAGUGGAUGAUGGGCCACUUAUCUGGGUUCCUGUCUACGAGAGAGACCCAGAUAGAGGUCCAGGCUCCUGGCUUCAGCCAGGGCAAAAAGUUGCUCUCUGGGUCCAGCACUGCGGUGCAGUAGGUUCAUCCUCCACCUGUGGCACCAGCAUCCCAUAGGGACGCCAGUUCUAGUCCCAGCUGCUCCUCUUCCAGUCCAGCUCUCUGCUAUGGCCUGGGAAAACAGUAGAAGAUGGCCCAAGUGCCUGGGCCCCUGCACCUACAUGGGAGACUGGGAGGAAGCACCUGGCUCCUGCCUUCAGAUAGGCGCAGCUCUUACUGUUGCGGCCACUGGGUAGUGAACCAAUGGACAGAAGACCUUUCUCUCUGUCUCUCCCUCUCACUGUCUAACUCUACCUCUCAAAUAAAUAAAUAAAUAAAUCUUUUUAAAAAGUUGCUUUCCAAAGUUCAUGCACUGAUGGGGGAACCCACACCUUCCAAUUUCAAGUCCUUUGCAACUUCAUUUUGCAAUUAGAACUGAGGCUUUGGGAGAUCAAAUGGUGCUCUUGCCUCAGAAUUCCUCUGAGGGUCUGUGACAGAAAAAGGAAAAGCAGGGGCCAGCCCUAUAGGUUAAGUCACUGCUGGUCACAGUGGCAUCCUGUAUGGUAACACCAGUUUAAGUCCCACCUGCUUUGCUUCCCAUUCAGCUCCCUGCCAAUACACCUGGAAAGGCAAUAGAUGAUGGCCCUGCCAGCCAUGUGGGAGACCCAGAAAGAGUUCCAGGCUCCUGGCUUCAGCCUGGCCCAGCCCUGGCUAUUGUGGGUAACUGGGGAGUGAACCCUAAGAUGGAAAAUCACUGUCACCCUGCCUCUCAAAUAAAUUUUAAAAAAGAGCAAUCUGAGGAAUGUUAGCAAGGUCACAGGAUAAUCAGUGUUUUUGUUUUUUAAACAGAUAUGGAGGUACUUCAAAGAAUUAAUGGAAAGUGGAGUAAGAUAAUUUUAUUGGGGUGGGUGCUAUGGCACAGUGAGUUAAUCCACUGCUUAAGACACCCAUGUCCCAUAUUGGAGUGCCACUUUGAGUCCUGCCUACUCUGCUUCCAAUCUAGCUCCUUGAUAAUGUGCCUGGGAAACCGUGGACAGUGGCAAAAUAUGUGAGUUCUUGCCACCCACACUGGAGACGCAGAUGGAGCUCCUGAUUCCUCACCUCAGCCCACUCCAGGCUGUUGCAGCCUUUUGUGGAUUGGACCAGCAGAUGAAGAUCUCUGUCACUCUGCUUUUGAAAUAUUUUUAAAAAGAUCAUUCUGGAGCUGGUGCUGUGGCGUAGUGGGUAGAGCUACUGCUUGCAAUGCCAGCACCCCAUAUAGGCACUGGUUGGAGACCUGGCUGCUCCACUUUUGAUCCAGCUCUCUGCUAUGGCCUGGGAAAGCAGUAGAAGAUAGACAAAGUCCUUGGGCCCCUGAACCCGCAUGGGAAGACUCAGAGGAAGCUCCUGGCUCCUGGCUUCGGAUUGGCACAGCACCAUCCAUUGUGGCCGAUUGGGGAGUGAACCAGCAGAUGGAAGACCUCUCUUAUCUUCCGCCUCCUCGCUCUGUGUUAACUCUGACUUUCAAAUAAAUAAAUCUUUUUAAAAAAUCA